Molecule: microRNA precursor, 88 nt
Filed under: Choloepus hoffmanni (Hoffmann's two-fingered sloth)
Lineage: Eukaryota; Metazoa; Chordata; Mammalia; Pilosa; Megalonychidae
Description: miRNA (ENSCHOG00000015694.1)
Rfam family: Eukaryotic large subunit ribosomal RNA
Source: RNAcentral
AAGCAGGAGGUGUCAGAAAAGUUACCACAGGGCUAACUGGCUUGUGGCGGCUAAGUGUUCAUAGCAAUGUUGCUUUUUGAUCCUUCGA